RNAcentral lists this ribosomal RNA (981 nucleotides) under Pseudomonas aeruginosa. Its description in RNAcentral is "bacterial SSU rRNA". It matches the Rfam family "Bacterial small subunit ribosomal RNA", at positions 66 to 1044 of the family's 1533-position model. The record is from RNAcentral. Lineage: Bacteria; Pseudomonadati; Pseudomonadota; Gammaproteobacteria; Pseudomonadales; Pseudomonadaceae.
GGGAUGAAGGGAGCUUGCUCCUGGAUUCAGCGGCGGACGGGUGAGUAAUGCCUAGGAAUCUGCCUGGUAGUGGGGGAUAACGUCCGGAAACGGGCGCUAAUACCGCAUACGUCCUGAGGGAGAAAGUGGGGGAUCUUCGGACCUCACGCUAUCAGAUGAGCCUAGGUCGGAUUAGCUAGUUGGUGGGGUAAAGGCCUACCAAGGCGACGAUCCGUAACUGGUCUGAGAGGAUGAUCAGUCACACUGGAACUGAGACACGGUCCAGACUCCUACGGGAGGCAGCAGUGGGGAAUAUUGGACAAUGGGCGAAAGCCUGAUCCAGCCAUGCCGCGUGUGUGAAGAAGGUCUUCGGAUUGUAAAGCACUUUAAGUUGGGAGGAAGGGCAGUAAGUUAAUACCUUGCUGUUUUGACGUUACCAACAGAAUAAGCACCGGCUAACUUCGUGCCAGCAGCCGCGGUAAUACGAAGGGUGCAAGCGUUAAUCGGAAUUACUGGGCGUAAAGCGCGCGUAGGUGGUUCAGCAAGUUGGAUGUGAAAUCCCCGGGCUCAACCUGGGAACUGCAUCCAAAACUACUGAGCUAGAGUACGGUAGAGGGUGGUGGAAUUUCCUGUGUAGCGGUGAAAUGCGUAGAUAUAGGAAGGAACACCAGUGGCGAAGGCGACCACCUGGACUGAUACUGACACUGAGGUGCGAAAGCGUGGGGAGCAAACAGGAUUAGAUACCCUGGUAGUCCACGCCGUAAACGAUGUCGACUAGCCGUUGGGAUCCUUGAGAUCUUAGUGGCGCAGCUAACGCGAUAAGUCGACCGCCUGGGGAGUACGGCCGCAAGGUUAAAACUCAAAUGAAUUGACGGGGGCCCGCACAAACGGUGGAGCAUGUGGUUUAAUUCAAACCACGCGAAGAACCUUACCUGGCCUUGACAUGCUGAAAACUUUCCAAAGAUGGAUUGGUGCCUUCGGGAACUCAGACACAGGUGCUGC